AAAUUGAAGAGUUUGAUCAUGGCUCAGAUUGAACGCUGGCGGCAGGCCUAACACAUGCAAGUCGAACGGUAACAGGAAGCAGCUUGCUGCUUUGAUGACGAGUGGCGGACGGGUGAGUAAUGUCUGGGAAACUGCCUGAUGGAGGGGGAUAACCUGUCUCUUAUACACAUCUCCGAGCCCACGAGACACUGAGCGAUCUCGGAGGCCUGAUUGGGCUUGAAAAACGGGGGGGGGGGGGGGGGGGGGGGGG
Molecule: ribosomal RNA, 250 nt
Filed under: Salmonella enterica subsp. enterica serovar Oslo
Lineage: Bacteria; Pseudomonadati; Pseudomonadota; Gammaproteobacteria; Enterobacterales; Enterobacteriaceae
Description: partial 16S ribosomal RNA
Rfam family: Bacterial small subunit ribosomal RNA
Source: RNAcentral